UGGAGAGUUUGAUCCUGGCUCAGAUUGAACGCUGGCGGCAGGCCUAACACAUGCAAGUCGAGCGGAUGACGGGAGCUUGCUCCUUGAUUCAGCGGCGGACGGGUGAGUAAUGCCUAGGAAUCUGCCUGGUAGUGGGGGACAACGUUUCGAAAGGAACGCUAAUACCGCAUACGUCCUACGGGAGAAAGCAGGGGACCUUCGGGCCUUGCGCUAUCAGAUGAGCCUAGGUCGGAUUAGCUAGUUGGUGGGGUAAUGGCUCACCAAGGCGACGAUCCGUAACUGGUCUGAGAGGAUGAUCAGUCACACUGGAACUGAGACACGGUCCAGACUCCUACGGGAGGCAGCAGUGGGGAAUAUUGGACAAUGGGCGAAAGCCUGAUCCAGCCAUGCCGCGUGUGUGAAGAAGGUCUUCGGAUUGUAAAGCACUUUAAGUUGGGAGGAAGGGCAGUAAGUUAAUACCUUGCUGUUUUGACGUUACCGACAGAAUAAGCACCGGCUAACUCUGUGCCAGCAGCCGCGGUA
Molecule: ribosomal RNA, 522 nt
Filed under: Pseudomonas putida
Lineage: Bacteria; Pseudomonadati; Pseudomonadota; Gammaproteobacteria; Pseudomonadales; Pseudomonadaceae
Also listed under: 1 other name
Description: bacterial SSU rRNA
Rfam family: Bacterial small subunit ribosomal RNA
Source: RNAcentral